UCAUUUUCGAAGAUGCAUAUAAAGAGGGCCGUGACCCGCGUAACUUCCCUUUAAACGGGAGAUACAGAUCGGUGAAGCGCACUGCGCACGUCUCUCUCUAACGCCCUGUUGCUCUCUUUCUCUCUCUAACGGGAGGGACAGCAAAAGUGUUCAUUCUCGUGCUCUCGCUCUCUCUCUCUCUCGCUUUUCUCUUUAUUCCCCUUGACGAUGUUCUCUCUCCUCUGCAACCGCUGAGAAGGUGCUUAAAAAAACGCUCUCGCUUUCCCGCAUGAAACCCGAC
RNAcentral lists this long non-coding RNA (280 nucleotides) under Amborella trichopoda. RNAcentral describes it as "long non-coding RNA (ATRI_LNC001861)". Lineage: Eukaryota; Viridiplantae; Streptophyta; Magnoliopsida; Amborellales; Amborellaceae. The record is from RNAcentral.